ACGGUGUCACUCUCUCACCUAGGCUGGAGUGCAGUGGCACGAUCUCAGCUCACUGCAACUUCUGACUCCUGGGUCCAAGCAAUUGUCCUGCCUCAGUCUCCCAAGUAGCUGGGAUUAUAGACACGUGCCACUAUGCCCAGCUAAGUUUUGUAUUUUUAGUUGAGAUAGAGUUUUGUCAUGUUGGCCAGGCUGGUUUCGAACCCCUGGGCUGAAGUGAUCCACCUGCCUUGGCCUCCCAAAGUGCUGGGAUUACAUGUGUGAGCCACCGCACCUAGCCCUAAUUUUUUUUUUUUUUUUUUUUUUUUUUGUAGAGAUGAGGUCUCGCUAAUUUGCCCAGGCUGGUCCUGAACUCCUGGGUUCAACUAAUUCUCCUGCCUCAGCCUCUCAAAGUGCUGGGAUUACAGGCAUGAGACACCACGCCAGGCUGGUGGUGAGUUUUAAAAUUUUCCAGUGCCUCAGUGUUUCUACCUGUAGAAUGCCAAAAAGUAGAUGGCAUCUUUGCGAGGAUGAAGCCGACUAGCUUUUUUUAAUUUUUUUUUGAGACAGAAUUUCUCUCUUGUCACCCAGGCUGGAGUGCAAUGGUGUGAUCUUGGCUCACUGCAACCUCUGCCUCCUGGAUUCAAGUGAUUCUCCUCUCUCAGCCUCCAAGUAGCUGGGAUUACAAAGCCAGCUAGCUUUAAGAUACAGUGUUGGGCAUCACAUUUUGGCACGGAGCAGGCACUCUUUUCUUUGCCCUCAGGUGGGACUUAGCCACCACAAGCCUUCCCUGGUGUGUGCAGUGGGUGAUGAAUGCUUGCCUGCUCAGCACCCACUACAUGGUGGGCUGGGUCACAUUACUCUGACUCCCCCUUGAGCUUCAGUCCGUGCCUGGUUCAAGAUGUAUUGACUCAACUCGAGGAUCCAGAGGUGGGAUGUGGCUCUGGCCUGGCCAGAGGACCGAAGAUGCUGCAUGCCAUGGCUACAGCAACUGGUUCAGCUUUGGGCUCAUGUCCUAGUCAGAGCCAAUGAGAUGUAAUCUUGGGAUAUCUGCUGGGCUGUUGGGAAGGGGACAGGCUGCCCUGCUCAUCCCCAUUCCUGAUGCUGAGGGAUCUGAGAAAAUCACUUGUAAAAUUCGGGGGUGUUUGGAAGAUGGGGAGACUGAUGUCUCCUUCUCUCUACAGACAUCUGAUCAGCUACAGAGCUUGACUGACCUACCCAGAGGCAGAAUGAUAUGGUGGUUAAAAGUGUGCCCUGGGCCGAGAUCUUGCCACUGCACUCCAGCCUGGGUGACAGAGUGAGACUCCAUCUCAAAAGAAAAAAAAAAGUGUGCUCUGGGCUGGUCGCAGGAGUUUAUGACUGUAAUCCCAGCAGUUUGGGAGGCUGAGGCAGGAGGAUCGCUUGAAGUCAGGAGUUUGAGAUCAGACCCUAUCUCUAGAAAAAUGUUUUAAAAAUUAGCUGGGUUGGUGGUGAAUGCCUGUAGUCCCAGCUACUCAGGAGGCUGAGGCGGGAAGAUUGCUGGAGCCCGGGAGUUCAAGGCUGCAGUGAGCCAUGAUCAGGCCACUGCACUCCAGUUUGAGGGACAGAGAGAGACCCCAUCUCCCUAAAGCACAAAAAAGUGUGCUCUGGUGCCACACUGCCUGGUUAGAUCCUUUGUCCACCACUUAGAUGCAUGUUAUAUAAAUGCUCUCCUCAGUUUCCUCAUCUGUAACUUGGGGAUGAUAAUGCUGCCCCAUUAAGUGGUUAUGGGGACUAAAUUCAUGUGGGCGCAUUGGUAAGUAUUCAACAAGCUUGAUUUUUUCCUGGAGAGGGAGAAAGAGCAUACAGUGAAGUGGCAUGCUCAGGUGCAUUGGGGCAAGGAUUAUUUCCUCUGGCUUCUGCCUCCUGGGAGGUACUAAGGAUGGAUCUGAAAUGUGUCUGCAGACCCCAGAGUUGGGGACUGCAGAGGGAAAUUGAGAUCAGGGACCCCAGUCUGGCAGAAAUGGGUGCAGCAUGGGGCAUUGGGUUCCUUCCAUCAGAGGCAUGGGGUGUGUUGCAGACAGUCAUGAGAUGUGGCUGAAUCUUGCAAGGGAGCUGCAGUCCUAGGGUUGCUGCUUGAGACAAUGACCGCUGUCAGUGGAACCUGGUGACCUUCACCCUUCUCUGUCAGGCUGCAGACAGCAAGAGAUGGCAGGAGGUUACACCCAACAGGAAAAGGGCCAUUGCUAUCCCACAGGUUGCCAUAGGAGGAGAUGACAUCUCUUCCCUCUCCUCCUCCAGCAGUGUCAGCUGGGGAAGAGGUGGGUGGGGGUGCACAAAAGAGUAGACCACAGACCAUGCUCCUUCUCCUCCAGUCUGCUGGGGCCCCAAGAGAGUCUGCAGCCCUUGGCCAGGGACCGGCUGAUACAGGAGAACAAAAGAUCUCAGUCUGGGAUAACAUGGUGGUGCAGCUGAUCCUCUGGAACUCCCUGUGAGAUCAGACUGGAGCCAGUCUCCAGCUGAGACCACAUCUCACUUAGCUCCUUCCCUGCCAUAUCCUGUUUUCCUUACUCCUAUCUACUGAGAGUCCUGAAUGAAUUACAUGCACUCAAUCCCUGCCUCAGGCUCUGCUUUUAGGGAACUUGACCUAAGACAGAUAUCUUAGUACUAAAUACUUUGCAAGGCCUCAGAAGCUCUGCUAUCCACAGGCAGGUGAGAUAUUACCUUCCCUACCACCUGGCAGUCAUAGUCUAUGAUGCGAUUCAGCUUUGUGGAAGUGCUUCUGUAAAGAACUUCCCCCAACUUAAGAUGAUCUUAAUUUGCUUACUUGUUUACUGUCCAUUUAGCUGCUGUAAAAUGUGAGCUCCAAAUCAGUGGUCAUGUCUGGUUAGUUACCCAUUUCCUGGGACCUAGAACGGGCCUAGCUCAGAGCAUGUGCUCACUAUUGAUGGAAUGCAUGUUGAAAGAACGCAUGAAUCUCAUCUCCUUUUGUGGGUGAAAAACUCAUCCUAUUCUCACUCCUGAUUAACUUUCCUUCUUUUUUUUUUUUUUUUUUUUUUUCAAAACGGAGCCAUGAUCUGUCACCCAGGCUGGAGUGCAAUGGUGUGAUCUCAUCUCGCUGCAACCUCUGCCUUCUGGAUUAAAGCAAUUCUCCUGCCUCAGCCUCCCGGGUAUCUGGGAUUACAGUUGCACGCCACCACACCUGGCUAAUUUUUUGUAUUUUUAAUAGAGACAGGGUUUCACCAUGUUGGCCAGGCUUGUCUUGAACUCCUGACGUCGUGAUCUGCCUGCUUUGGCCUCCCAAAGUCCUGGGAUUACAGGCAUGAGCCACCGUACCCAGCCACUCUUGAUUAACUUAAUGGAAAUAUUUACAGAGAUUCUUUCUCUUCUGGGUUCUAGCGUCUUAUCUGUAACCUCUGCAGGGGAGUCACUGAGCAGAACGAAGCGAGUUGCCUGAGAUUCUUCAAAGCCCCAGCCCUUUUGGAGGUUACAUUGUUAUUCUCAGAGCCUUUAUGAUGCAUAAUAAAGACCUAGCUUGUACCAAUAUUAGGAUGAGUUAUCUUGCUAUUAACAUUCUUUUAGGUAGAAGUUGCUGGUCCCAUCUUGCUCACAAUCCUCCAAAGUUUGAAAGUUAUUUUCCAGGAGACUUGGCUUGCACUGAGAGCUGCCCUCCCACUCUCUCUCCAAAUUUCCUCUUCGGAGUAGCCUAACAAGGUGCUGUCACAGACCCUUGUCAGCCACGAUGACCCCACCCAGACCAUCCCUCUGCUGUUUCACUCUUUGAUACUCUCUGGAGCUCUCUGGGGAGGGGUGAGACCUGCCGUCUUCUUUGUACGGUUUGCCCAGGUCUUACAGUCAUGGCUGGCUGCCUCUCUCUGAGAACUGGGACUCCUGAACUUGGUGAAAUACCUCAGCCAUCGAUCAUGUUGAAUUAUUGGGAACACUCAUUUAAAAUCCGAGCCUGUUCCAGAUAGACUCUCUCUCUUUCUGCCCUGACUGUGAGAGAAGCCCUGCUGGAUGGUGGAGAUGCUCGUGGGCUGUGAGCAAGGGAUGCAAAGGCUGCCGGGAAUCCCAUCUUUCCAGCAUCAUCUGCUAAGUCACAUUAGUUCCUGGGUAUCUGGAUGGGUUCUAGCAGCAUUACUGUCAUUGAAGGAAAAAUGAUAGCCAUAUUAAAGGUUAAUGCAGCAAUCUCCACAUAGGCUGCCUUGAAGGGACGCAGGACAAGGGUAGGUUUUCCUUGUGAUGGACAGGAGGCAGGCGGCCCUCCCACAGCCCUGCCUGGCAAUGCAGGUGUGUCCCCAAAAGGCACUGGGGGCCAGCUGGAGUGCUAUGCCGAGGCGGGCUGACCUGGGCCGUGGGUUCGCUGAUUGCAGCGGUUUCCUGCCAGCUCCUUGGAGAGCUGGCAGAUGGCCCAGCCCCACAGCAGGAGCCGCGAAUGGCAGAGCGACAUACAACAAUUUGAUAUCCACUUGCCAGAGGAGCCGGGUGUCAUCAGUCGCCUGGAUCUGUGCCCAACUUCUUUUUGCAUAAACACUUAUGAAUUCAGCCAAGAGGAAAAGCACUCUGAUUAUGAAUUGAGCAGAAGGAAACAAAGUUCUGCAGAUAAACACCAAUGAGACAAAAAAACACAAAUAAGAAAAAUGACAGAAAAGAAGAACCUUCCCAGAAGCCUCCUGCCAGUGAACGGCCACCAUAGCAAGAGCAUGGAGGCCCUGGGUUUUGAACUGUGAGAUAAGGAAGAUGAUGAAAACCUCCCUAGCAGCCAGGCAAGCACAAGAUUCCUGUGAAAUCCAGGUCUAAGUGUUUUGACUACAGAAGUAAUAUUAUGUCAUAGGUGCAGGAAUGAGAGGCAGCAGCCGGGGAAGCCAGGGUCUCCGGAAGUCCUUGUCUCUGGGCGGUGAUCCAGAGAGAGAGAGAGAACACGAUUGUCUCAGCAAUGGGUCUUCUUCUGAGUCUUGAAGGAGCACUUCCAGAGCCUCUCAGUGUUAAACAUCGUGUUGUGAAUGACUCCGUGAGCUCUGACCCAGUGACCUUGGGGAUAAAGGAGGGGAGGUACGGAUAAGCUCUUCGAAUGGAUGUUGCCGGGGUGUCAGUGUUCUUUGAGGGCACAGACUAUGUGUCACUAAAGAAAGAGCCCAGUGCCUUUUCUCAUUGCUCAAGAGAUUGAAGGGGUAGUAAGAAAAGAUGUUAAGUUAUAAACACGUUUCAGUUUUGGUACCAGUUGAACCAAUUUACGUUUUGAAGAGGAAAGAGUCUUGCCUACAAUGUCAGCCCCCGGGUUUUCCUUCUGCUUAUGGAAUCCAGGCAAUGGGCAAAGAGAAAAAGAAAACUAAGGAAUCAGCCAGG
Molecule: long non-coding RNA, 5280 nt
Filed under: Homo sapiens (human)
Lineage: Eukaryota; Metazoa; Chordata; Mammalia; Primates; Hominidae
Description: HSALNT0056377
Source: RNAcentral